This 72-nucleotide transfer RNA is filed under the name Dreissena polymorpha. Its description in RNAcentral is "tRNA-Gly". Lineage: Eukaryota; Metazoa; Mollusca; Bivalvia; Myida; Dreissenidae. The record is from RNAcentral.
GAGUCGGUGGUGUAAGGUUAGCAUGGUUUACCUACCAAGCAGCCGAUCCGUGUUCGAUUCCCGGCCGACGCA